This 14016-nucleotide long non-coding RNA is filed under the name Coffea arabica (coffee). RNAcentral describes it as "long non-coding RNA (CARA_LNC001162)". The record is from RNAcentral. Lineage: Eukaryota; Viridiplantae; Streptophyta; Magnoliopsida; Gentianales; Rubiaceae.
GUACGGGGCACCUCCGCUCCAUCUAGCUUCGCGAGUUUGCAGUAACCAGCUCGACUUGCCUCGAGUACUUUGUACGGUCCUUCCCAGUUCGGGUCUAGCUUGUUGGAGCCAUGAGCUCGGUUGACCGAAUUCUUCCUUAGGACGAGGUCCCCCGGCUGGUAUUGUAUAGUCCUCACCUUGGCGUUAUGAUAGCGGGCGAGCUGGCUUUUGUACUUGGCCAUUCGUAUCGCCGCUUCCUCACGCUUAACCUCGAGCAUGUCCAAGUUGCACCGCAGUUCUUCCCCGUUGGCUGUCGCCACGAAGUUCUGUGUUCGAGGCGAGGGAAGACCGAUCUCUGCGGGGACCACUGCUUCUACCCCGUAAGUCAGGGAGAACGGGGUCUCGCGGGUGGCCGUUCUGGGCGUAGUGCGGUAGGCCCAGAGGACACUGGGGAGCUCGUCCAGCCAGCUCGAUUGGGCUGACUCCAACCUAGUCUUCAACCCUUGCAGAACGGUUCGGUUAGCACUCUCCACCUGGCCAUUGGCCUGGGGGUGACCGACCGACGUGAAGUGCUGGUUGAUUCCGAGCUCAGCGCACCAGCUCCGGAAGGGGUUCUCGGCGAACUGGCGCCCGUUGUCGGAUAUCAAGACAUGCGGGACGCCGAAACGGCAGACGAUGUUCCUCCAAAAGAAUUUCUGAAUCGCCAUCCCCGAAAUAGAGAUCCGGGGCUCUGCCUCCAUCCACUUUGUGAAGUAGUCGAUGGCCACCACGAGAUGCUCGUACUUUCCAGGAGCCCGAGGGAAAGGACCUAGGAGGUCUAUCCCCCAUUAGGCGAAAGGCCAGGGACUGUGGAUGGGGAUCAUUUCCCGAGCUGGCUGGUGGCACAGUGAGGCGUGCAUCUGGCAAGUUCGGCAUUUCUGUACCAGUUCUGCGGCGUCUCGGAAGACGGAGGGCCAAUAGUAGUCCAGGAGAAGGCACUUUUUUGCCAACACUCGGGCCCCCACAUGUGCCGCACAUAUCCCUUCAUGUACUUCGCGGAGGACGUAGUUACCUCCUCCGGCGUCACGCACUUUAGUCAGGGAGAUAAGUACGACCUCCUGUAUAGGAUUCCCCCAGCGUAGGCGUAUUUGGCAGCUCGGAGCUGGAUCCGGCGAGCCUCGGUUUUGUUCUCUGGGAGGGCAUCCGAGCUGAGGAAGUCAACGAGGGGAGCCAUCCAGGUAGCCGAGCUGUCUAUAGUCAGAACCUGGACUUGGCCGAUGCUUUUCUGUUUCACCACCUCCACCAAGACUUCCUUGCUUAGAUGGGCAAAUGAGGAGGACGCCAGCUUCGAAAGGGCGUCCGCACGCUUGUUCUGGGACCUCGGCACCCGUUCGAUUUCAAAGGUUCCGAACAAGGCCACCGCCUCCUGUACCUUAGCCAGGUAUUUCUUCAUAACCUCGUCCUUGGCUUCGUACUCCCCGCGCACCUGGAGGACGACGAGCUAAGAGUCGCUCCGAACUCUGAUCGCGGUGAUGUCCAUCUGGUGGGCUAUUCGCAACCCCGUCAACAGGGCCUCGUACUCGGCCUCGUUGUUGGAUGCCGGGAAAUCGAACCUAAGCGCAUAGGUCAGUUCUUCCCCGGUAGGUGAGGUGAGCAGCAGGCCAGCUCCGCUCCCCUCCUUGCUCGAGGCGCCGUCCACGAACAGCACCCACGGCUCCUCUGUCGGGGUGUCCGUGGGUGUUGGGACUAGCUCGGUCAGAGUCAGGCUGGCCCCCUCAGCAAGGAAGUCCGCCAAGGCUUGAGCCUUGAUUGCGGCGCGAGACUGAUAACUAAGGUCAUGUUCGGCCAGCUCGACGGCCCACUUGGUCAUCCUGCCAGAGACCUUGGGCUUGGUGAGUAUCUGACGCAGGGGCUGGUCGGUCAGGACUACAAUGCUGUGAGCCUGGAAGUAGGGGCGGAGCUUGCGAGCAGCGUGCACCAAAGCAAGGACCAGCUUCUCCGCCGGCGUGUACCUCGUUUCUGGCCCUUGUAGAGCGCGGCUGACGUAGUACACCGGCCUCUGAGCCCCCCGUCCUCCCGCACCAAAACCGCGCUGACGGCCUCGUUGCAGGCGGAUAGGUAAAGGAACAGAGUCUCCCCCAGGUCCGGGGCGGUCAGAGUGGGUAGCUCAACCAGAUAGGCCUUAAGGUCGGUGAAGGCUUUCUGACACUCUUCUGUCCAAUGAAAAUCCUUGGGCGCUUUCAAAACUCGGAAGAAGGGCAGCCCCCGGACUGCGGAGCGCGAGAGGAAACUACUUAGGGCGGCCAUCCUCCUUGUGAGCUGUUGGACUACCUUCACGUUCCUCGGAGGGGCCAUGUCCAUUAUGGCCUGGAGUUUGUCCGGAUUGGCCCGGAUCCCUUCUCGGGACACUAAGAAUCCCAGGAACCUUCCCGACCUGACCCCAAAUGUGCAUUUCUUCGGGUUCAGCCGCAUCCUGCUCUCCCGUAGGAUAUCCAGGAUCUCCCUCAGGUUCGAGAUGAGCUGCUGAUCAGUUCGGCUUUUGACGAUCAUGUCGUCCACGUAAACCUCCAUGUUUCUGCCGGUCUGAUUCUGGAACAGUUUGUUAACCAGGCGCUGGUAGGUAGCUCCAGCGUUCUUCAAUCCGAACAGCAUGGUCCUGUAGCAGUAGGUCCCCUCCUCGGUAACAAAGGAGGUCUUAUCCCGGUCCUCCUCGGCCAUCUCUAUCUGGUGGUAUCUCUUAAAGACAUCCAGAAAGCAUAAAACGUCAAAACCCACAGUAGAGUCCACUAACCUGUCAAUUCUUGGCAGAGGAAAGCAGUCCUUUGGGCAGGCUUUGUUGAGAUCCGUGAAGUCUACGCACAUCCGCCAGGUCUGAUCCUCCUUCUUGACCAAUACGGGGUUGGCCAACCAGGUCGGGUAGUAGACCUCAAGGAUGAUCUUGGACUCUAGCAGUUUACCGACCUCCACCUUGAUCACCUCGUUCCUUUCGGGGGCGAAGCUCCUCUUCUUCUGCUUCACCGGUUUGAAGCAGGGAUCCACGUCGAGGUGGUGGACUGCCAGGUCGGUUGGGAUCCCAGGCAUGUCAUCCACCGACCAAGCGAAGACCUGGGAGUACUCCCUCAACAGAGCCUUCAAGCCCUCCUUCUCCUCAGGGGGCAGCAGCGCGCCUAUGCGGAUCACCUGGUCAGGCCGUUCCUCUCUCAGGGGGAAAUCCUCAAUUUCGUCCUGUAUGCUCAACUGCGGGGCCUCGUCCCCUGGGCUGUAGGGCUCCAAACAGGUCGUCUGAGUGACCACCUUCUCCUGUCCCUGCAGCACCGCCAGGUAGCAAACUUUGGCCACGUUCGGAUCCCCACGCACCUCGGUUAUCCCUCCCGGCGUGGGGAAUUUAACGCUGAGGUGGAGAGUAGAGGGAAUAGCCCGGAGGGCAUUCAGAGCAGGCCUUCCAAGGAACACAUUGUACGGGGAUUGCUGCCUGACCACCACGAAGUUGACGGGGAUGGUCCGACACUUGGUGGCCUACCCUACCGUGACCAUCAGGGUGAUCAUUCCCUCCGGACUAACGGGUGGGCCCGUGAAGCCCACCAAGGGUGUCCGAACUGGCGUCAGCUGGUCGUCCCUCAGCACGGUCAGGUAGCAAACUCUGGCCACGUCCGGAUCCCCGCGCACCUCGGCUAUCCCUCCCGGCGUGGGGAAUUUAACGCUGAGGUGGAGAGUAGAGGGAAUAGCCCGGAGGGCAUUCAGAGCAGGCCUUCCAAGGAACACAUUGUACGGGGAUUGCUGCCUGACCACCACGAAGUUGACGGGGAUGGUCCGACACUUGGGGGCCUACCCUACCGUGACCAUCAGGGUGAUCAUUCCCUCCGGGCUAACGGGUGGGCCCGUGAAACCCACCAAGGGUGUCCGAACUGGCGUCAUUCCCUCCGGGCUAACGGGUGGGCCCGUGAAACCCACCAAGGGUGUCCGAACUGGCGUCAGCUGGUCGUCCCUCAGGCCGAGCUCUUUGAACACUCGGUAAAACAUGAUGUCAACCGCACUUCCCUGGUCGACGUAUACCUUCUUCACCCGAUAGUUGUUGGUUACAACAUCUAUCACAAUGGUCUCGUGGUUCCCAGAUGCUAGGGGAACCGCGUCCCUGGGCCCGAAGGUGAUCUCCUCGUCCAUGCGCAAGCGUUUGAGGGAGUCAUUCCCCUCGGGUGGGGGUCGCCUGUUUUUCCGAGCUGUGUGACUGUCUCCGCCCUUGGGGCCCCCAACGAUGGUGUUUAUCACCCCCGCUAGGUUCUGGUCCUCCAGGUCGGGAGAGUGGUUCCGAGGAGCGUCAUGCCGCUCGGGGCGGUCGCGACGCUGUCCCCCGUACCUAUCUCCGUAGUGGUUGCGCCCGGGUUCCUGACCUGGUCGACGUACGAACUGCCCUAGAAAGCCGCGCUGGAUCAGGUCCUCGAUCUCCUUACGCAGGGCCCAGCAUCCCUCCGUGUCGUGUCCGACGUCGCGGUGAAAGGCGCAGUACCGGUCCUGGUUCCUUUUGUUCCGGGGCGUCCCCAUCUUGGGCGGCCGAUCUCCUAGCCCUUCCGCCUCCAUAACAGCCAAGAUCUGGGCUCUAGGCCGUGUCAGACGGGUGUAGCUCUUCUCUGGGAGUGGCGGAGGAGCAGGGGCCUUCUCCUUCGAGAGCCGAUCGAAAACGUUUUUCUUGGCCGGGACGUCCUUGCCCUCCGGGGGGUUUGUCCGACCCUUCCGAUCUCCGAGCUCCCGAUCCGAUUCUUUCUUCAGGCGACCUGCCUCCUCCGCAUUAGCGGCCUCGUGCGCCCUGCGUAGGAGCUUCUCCAGGUUUACGGGAGGCUUCUUGGCCAGAUCGUAGAAGAGCUCUUCUACCCUGAGCCCAUUUGUGAAGGCGGCCAUUACCACUUUCUCGUCUUUGUCCCUAACCUGCAAGCUCUCCGCAUUGAAGCGGAUCAUGAAGUUCCUCAGCGACUCGUCGGGCCUCUGUCUGAUGGACAUCAGGUGGGUAGCGUUCCUCGCGUAAACCUUCGAGGAGACGAACUGGGUUACAAACUGCCGAUCCAGCUCGGGAAAACUCCGUAUAGACCCCGGUGCCAGUCCCUGGAACCAGAGCCGUGCUUUCCCCUUCAGGAACAUAGGGAAAGUUUUACAGCGGACCUCGUCCGCAGCGGUUUGCAGAUGCAUAUGCGUCAGGAAGACCGAAAGGUGGUCUUCCGGGUCUGUAGAGGCAUCGUACAUCUCAAUGCUCGGAAUCUUAAACCUCCGGGGUAGCGGGUAAUCCUCUAUCACCCGGGUAAAGGGCGAGGUUGCGUAGUUGUCCUCGUACGGCCGUGGCCUCAAGAUCUGCUCGAGCUUAUCCCGGGCAGGUUCCAAAUGAAGGGGGUCGCGGGGUCGGCUCUUGACAGACCGAGCAGGGGAGCGCUCGGACCCAUUCCGAGUGGACUUCCGCGGGGAGGGGUCUCUAGGACGGCUCCUCGCGGACCGGUCGCGGGAAUACCUCUCGCUGUCUCCGACCACAGAGGCUCGCGGGCGGGGUGGAGUCCGUGGUCGUUUCCUCCUGGGAGGCUGGUCUCGUGACUCAUCCUCCGAAGGGUCAGGGGGUGACUCCUUCUCCUUCCCCCUGGCCUUGGAGGUCUGCGCCCCCCCAGCCCCAUCCCCCUCCUUCGCCUGUCGGAUUAUAUCCUCCAGCAUAGGGAGAUUCUCCGUCACAAACUGGAAGAUCUGCUGCCUCCGCUCCCCUGAGAGGGCUGAGCCCCCGGCGCCCCGGGACGCCUCAGCCUCCUUUCGCUGGGACCCCUCACCGCCCCCAGGGCCGGUGCUCUCUACCGUGCGCUUGGAUCGCGUCCUGGCCAUCAACACAGUCUUACUUACCUUACGUUUCCCACAGACGGCGCCAACUGAAGAAGCACGGAACUUCCCCGGACCGAGCUGACCUGAAGAGCUCGGCGUGCUGAUGGUGAGAGCUCGUCCUAAGCCUGCAAGACAAACAAGGGUGAUCACGAGGGGGCUCUGAGGUGGUCCCCGUGAGCACUCCGACGGUCAAGUUAAUUUUUCGGCGAGUAGGGUUCACGGAGUUUAACUUAGUCAGAGUGUGUACUGCGUGUUAUUUGCAUCCCUUGUCAGAGUGGUGAAAGCUACCAUUUAUACCUGUCAAGAGAGUCCGACCUCCGCACGACGCGGGACUUGCCCAGUAUAGCUCCCAAUCCCGACCUAUGGGGGAUCUCCUCCGGUCUUCCCGGGACGGCCCCCUGGCUCCUCUGCAGCCCUAGUGGUAUGGCGGCCCAGGGCGAUCGCCAAAGGGCCGAAGGCCGAGGUCCAGCUCGGCCAUAGCUGGGCUGCCACGUGGUCGGGCCCAGAACAGGGCCUCUGCAUGUUGGUUGUUGGGUCUGCAAAAGAAUGACAGAGGUGAUUUAUUUAUGCGAGGUCUUCCAGCUCAUUUUUUGCUUUUCUUUGUUAAACAAUUCUUUCCGUAGCUCGCGUUCUGUGAGUGCGAGCUCCAAGAGCUCGCAUUCCUCAAAUGCGAACAGGAUUAUCUUAGAAUUGCACCAGCAGAUUACUCCCUUUUGUAGAAUAAUUUUUUUUUCAUUAUAACUUUAGAAUUUAUCCCAAACUUUUCAAACAGAUGCAUGGAAAUUUUAAAAUUUUCAUUUUUGACCCCUAAACUUUUAUAUAAUUUUACUUUGGCCCGACAACUUCUGCAAAUGAAUUAAUCUUACCCUUUAUAAUCUUUAAUCUUCAUUUUCAUGUUUUAAGCAUGUUUCUCAUUGAAUUAUUUCUGGGUUUUAUGGCAUAACUAGGCCUUAAUAAUUUUUAGAAAGAUCUAUUGGGCGUUUGGAAUCUCAAGUUUUUACCAAGUUUGUAUAAUACUAGUUUUUUAACAACUUUUAUUACAGGAACUCCAAAAAACUUAUCAAAGUUUUUAACCUACACACUUCAAAAAUACACAAAAAAAUUUCCCUUCAACUUUUCUUCUUUUUCCUCCCCCAUCCAACCCACCACGUACUCCGUCGCCGGUAGCCAUCACCACCACCAUUUCCCGCACCGAUCACUAUUCCGGCGGCCAGUUCCAGCCAAACUCUUUUUUUUUUCUCUCCCUCACCCCCUCUCCCCUCCCCUUUAACCGAUCUGUUGGUGCUCUUUUUCUUUUUUUUUUCUUUCUCCUUCCCCCCUCCCCUUUUCGCCUCUGCUUCCCCCGACACCCUUCCUGCUAGCAGCGAUUUGGUUGCGCAACCAGAUCGCAGCUAGGGGAGGGGAAGGGUGGGGGGGAAGGGAGGAGAGGGGGAGGGGAGGGGUGGUGAGGGAAGGAAGGGGAAGGGAAGACGGGAGGAGAGGGGGAGAGGGGGAGGGAGAAGAGGGAUGGCGGGGGAGGGAAGGGGAAGGGAGGAAGGAAAAGAAAAAAGAAAAAGAAAGAAAGAAAAUGAAAAGGAAAAAAAUUUCAUCUUACAAAAGUUUUUCUACAACUUCUACAGUGAUCUACAGUAAAGUUUAUACAAACACCAAAAAAACUCACCUUCCAAACGGGCCCAUUGUUUUGUUGGGUUUUAGUGAAAUGAGAUAAGAAAUGGUUUAGGAUUAUUUGUUGGGUUCUAAUAAGUGGGUUUGUUUUAUUUUCCUUUGGAUUUCUGACUUGGGUCCUAGAGCUAGAACCCAAUUUUUUGGACGGGCUUGUUUUGGCAAAAUUGGUGGAGAGUCCAUUAUUUUUUUGGGCUUUUAUUGGCCCGAAGAGGGAGUUUAGGCCCAUAAAACACAUAGAAUGGCCCAGUAGCCCUUUUUCUUAAGAAAUCUGGUAACGCAAAUUGCAAUCCGAUCCUUGUACUUUUGAGUAAUUUUAUUGUGGCCUUAAAAAUUUGGAAUUUUUUCAAUUAGGUUUCUAAUUUAAUUGUAAUUUGGUCCCUAAAUUUUAAUUUUAUUUUAUUCUGACCCUUAAUUUUUGUAAUAAUUAUAAUUUUGCCCAAAAACUUUCUUAUAUUUUGCAAUUAGGUCCCUAUUAGUUUUGAUAUCUUAAAUACCAGUUGCUUUUCUUCUUUAAUUGUUAAUUAUACUUCAUUUAAGUGCUUUAAUUGGUAUAUUUCAUGAUUAUUUCCAUUUUUUAUAAUUAAAUUGGUGUCUUAAUCAUUUUGUUGAUUUUGGAGCAUAAAUAGGACAAAUUCAACCUCAUUUAACCACUACUUCAAGGGAGGUACUUUUUUUUUUAUUUUAAAUCCUCUUAUGUGCUCCUAUGUGUUUUUUUAUGUAUAAUUGCAUGUUUUGAGUACUUUUUCUUUUAAUUACUCAUUUUAUUCAUUUUAAGUUUCAUUUAUUUUAUUUAAUUUUGAUGAUUAUUUAUGAGGCAUUUAAAUGCCAAUUUGUAAUAGAUAGGUACUCAAGACAUGUAUUUAGAUAGAUUAUGAUAGAUAGAUUUUAAUUAGAAAUUUAAGAAAUAAUAACCUAAAUAUUACAUUUAGAAAUUUAAGAAAUAAUAACCUAAAUAUUACAUUUAUCUAACUAAUUAUAUUUUUGCUAAAAAAAUAUAAUUAGUUAGAUAAAUGUAAUAUUUAGGUUAUUAUUUCUUAAAUUUCCUCCUUUUAGAUUGUAAUUAGGGUCCUGAAUGUAAUAGUUAGACUUUUAUUUGCGUUUAUUUGCUUGUGUGCUUACAUACUUGUGUGCUUACAUGUUUAUUCGUUUUCACUAGGGUUUUGCAUCUAGAAAUUAUGCCUAUAUGUUAUAUGUUCCAUGUGCAUUAUGUAUUUAUUUGCUUUAAUUAUGUUUGAUAUGAUUUAUUUAGUUAUAAUAAAUGCAUAACGUCUCCACACUAGUCCAACGCUAGUUAUGGCCAUUCUCUCCGAUUUCUCACUAGUCCAAUACUAGUGAAGACUUGUAGAAAUGGGCUAGUCCAAUGCUAGAUUCUUUAGACCAUUUUCGCGCUAGAUUCACACUUUUUGCGUAACAUUCAUCGCAUUUCAUACAUAUUUUGUAUUUUUAGGAUAUUUUCUCAUCUUACAUGAUAUUUCCUAUAUAUUAUUUCCCCUAAUCCUAUGUGCGUGAAACAUGACAUUUAGACUUGUAUUAGAAGUAGGCUAGUCCAUUCGCUUAACUAGGUUAGAGAGUCACCCUUCAAAUAUGGGAAAUGGACAAGUGUGACUUCUUAGUUUUAGCACGUUCUCAUCCCCUCUAUAAAAAGGAAAAACGAGUUACGAAUCUUAGUCCCCCGUACCUAUUAUGUUGCAUUCCUCUCCUUUAGGUCACGUAUAUUUAUAUAUUAUAAUUCUUCUUUUUCUUUGAGUCUCAUUUUUGCAUAUUCGUGACCUCUUCUAAAAAUCAUUUUUGGGCAUCAUAAUUAAUUUGAUUUGCACCAAUUAGAUUUUGAAAGAUAUUUUGACCCUCUCGAUAUCCAUUAGGUCUAGAUUUGCAUCAAUAUAAAAACAUCCAACUGUGAUAAGUUUUACAGGUUAGAUUAAGAAAAUUUUCGACUAAAUCUCGCAACUAAGCUUGGUUAGGUUGAAAGGGUUGUUUAGAUUUGAUUUUAUCAAAUCUUUACCUUCUCUUUCGUCAACCGUGACUCCCGAACUUUUUUCUCUUGUUUUUCGAAAACCUGGAGUGGUCUAAAAAGGGUUUUAUUUAUUUUUUAAAACAUAUUUUGGGUGAUUUAGUACAACUUAACUCAAUACCAAUUUAAAACCCUUUUUAGACUAUUAUUUUGGGUUUAAACCGUCGCACUUUCUAAGUCCCAUUUUAGACCCUUUAUUUUUAUUUAUUUUCUAAAAUCAAAAUCCCAUUUUCUUUCUUUUUAUUUUUGCAAAUAUUUAAACUAAAACAAAAACUAAUCAAGAACUAAAACUCAUUUCUUUAUUCAUCUUUUAAUAAAAAUUACAUUUUUAUACUCCAAAUAUUCUUUAAAAUAUAAAAAUCAUUUUUUUAAUCAUUAAUUCAUUUUCUUUAACCAACUAGUAAGAUUUUAUUUUUUCAAAAAAUCAAAAACUCAUUGAGAAUAAAAACUAAUUUUCAAAUAAAUUUAUUUAUUCAUUUAUUUAUUUUUUCCAAAAAAAUGGGGUGCGAUAUUACGCAUUCUUCAGAUUCUGCUACAGGAGUGUAUCCAUUCUCUUUCUUUCACAUAGUCUCCUACUAUGGCCACAUUAGCCUACAUGUAGAGGCCUAAAGCUAGUUGAGGGAACUUGAUCCCAUAUAAGGCCUCAAAAGGACUUAUCUGUAUGGCAUUGUGGUAUGUAAUAUUAUACCACCACUCUACCACAGAUAACCAAGAGUUCCAUCUUUUAGGUUCUAGGUGGGACAUACAUCUAAUGUACAUUUCCAUAACUUGAUUGACUCUUUCUGAUUGACCAUCAGUUUGAGGAUGGUAAGUAGUACUCAAACUCAAUUCAGCACCCAAUAAAGAGAACAACUUAGUCCAAAAUUGACUAACAAAGAUCUUGUCUCUAUAUGAAACCAUGCUUUGGGGAUUUCCAUGUAACUUCUAUCCUAUGAUCCAUGAAAAUUCUGGCCACUUUAGGUGCAUCAACGGGGUGGAACAAUCUAACAAAAUGGGCAUACUUGGUGAAUCUAUUUACUACCACUAGAAUUGAGUCUUUCCCUUCCAAGUUAGGCAAUCUCUCAAUGAAACUCAUGGUGAUAUGGCUUUAGGAGUGCUGUGGUAUAGGACGUGGUUGCAGCAACUUAGGAUAGGCAACAUGCUCAUCCUUACAUUUCCUGCAGGCUUCACACUGCAAUACUUCAUUCCUAAUCUCUUUAUACAACCCUGGCCAGUGGAAUAGUUGCUUGGCUCUCAUGAAGUUGGCUUGAAUCCCUGAAUGACCACCUAAUUGAGAGUCAUGAAGGGCAGUAAUAAGCUUCUUUCUUAUAUCUCCACCCAUCCCAACAUAUACUUGUAUUCCAAUAUGCUACUUUGAUAGCUAUAAUCUAGAACCUAGCCUUGGGUCACCAUUACCUCGCUAAUGAGAUUCUAAGCCUACUCAUCUCCUUGGUAGCUCUCUGAUACUUCUUUCAUCCAUUUUGGUACCAUAGUUGUUAUGGCUGAACACUCAACUUCCUUUACUUUUUCCCUCCUGAAAAGUGCAUUUCCUUUCCCUUUUUGUAAUGAAUCUCAUAACUCAACCCCAUAAAUUCGAUCAGCCAUUUCUUUUGAAGUGAAGUAGUGAUCCUUUGCUCUAAUAGAUACUUUAAGCUCUGGUGAUCAGUGUUAAUUAUGAAAUGGUGGCCCUUCAAAUAGUACCUCUGUUUGGUGAUAGUUGUGACUAGAGCCAGUAGCUCAUUCUCAUAUAUUGAUAAUCCAAGGUUCUUCUGCCCUAAACUCUGACUCAAAAAGGCCAAUGGUUUUUUGUUCUGCAUGUGCCUAGCACCUAAUCCUCUAUAACAAGCAUAUGUUUCAAUCACAAAUUGCUGAGUGAAGUCAAGAAGGGCUAUUAUAAUCCUCUAUAACAAGCAUAUGUUUCAAUCACAAAUUGCUGAGUGAAGUCAGGAAGGGCUAUUAUAGGUGUACUGCACAUAGCUAGCUUGAAUUUCUCAAAUGCUUCCUCAGCAUCAAUACCCCACUUGAAGCUGUCCUUCCUUAGCAAAACUGUUAAAGUUUUGGCAAUGGCCCCAUAGCUCUUGACAAAUUUCCUAUAGUAGCUAGUCAAGCCAAGGAAUCCCUUUAACUGUCUGACAUUAUCAGGUCUUGGCCACUGCAUCAGGCUCUCUAUCUUCUUGGGAUCAGCUCUCACUUCUUUUGUUGUGAUAAUGUGUUCUAGUUAUUCCAUCUAUGACUGAGCAAAGGAACACUUACUCCACUUUGCAUACAACUAGUAUUGUCACAGGAUACCCAAGACCUCAGUAUCAUGUUCUAUAUGAUUUUCCAGAGUUGGGCUGUACACUAGUAUAUCAUCAAAAAAUACCAGGACAUGUUUUCUCAUCUGGUCUUUGAAUACAUGGUUCAUUAGACUCUAGAAAGUAGUCGGGGCAUUGGUCCGCCCAAAGGACAUGACCUUGAACUCAUAGCGGCCCUAGUGAGUUUUGAAGACUGUCUUGGGAACGUUCUCUACCUUCACUCUAAUAUGGAAAUAGCCAGCUCUCAGGUCUAUUUUAGUGAAGUACUUGGACUCAUGCAACUCAUCCAGAAGUACUGCACCUCACUAAUUUCUCCAAUUAGUUCCAUUGGUUGUUUUCCCUUCUAGAACUUCAUGUUUAGCUUUUUGAAAUCAAAUUCCGCGAGGCUAUACCUUCCUAACCAAUCUACUCCUAACACCAAAUCACAACUACCCAGCUUCAAGGUGUUGAACUAGUGCUGGAAUUCAUACUCCUAAAACCAAAUCUUUUGCAUGGAUUUUAGGUUCUUUUCCUGUAGUUUUGCUGUUUCUAUAGCAUCUACCAGGGUUGCAGGUUUAGCCAGUUUGACCAUGUUAACUAUUUCAUCUUUCAGUCUACUCAGGAAACAUGAUUUGUAAUAAGUAUCUGACAAGUUGGGUAAAGAGGGCAUUACUAGGGCUUUUAGCAACUCAAAUUUUUCCAGGUAAUCAACUAUGGAACUAAUAUGUACUAGUUUGUUAAACUUUCAAUGGCUUCUUCUGGUUCCUUCUCCAAAUCUUUCAGACAUAGCAACUGAUAACUCAGGCCAUGGAAUUAAACUUCCGCCACUGAACAUUCCAUGGAACCAAAUAUCUACCUUGUCCCUAAAGUAUAGUUCUACAAUUUCUGACUUCAUUUCUUCCUUUACACCAUGGAUCUAGAAGUACUUGUUAGCCUUUCGAACCCAUUUCCUCGGGUUCUCCCCAUCAAAAUUAGGCAAUUCCAUCUUAGGCAAUCUGCCUGUGUUUUUUGGUUCUGACUUCCCCAUAAUCUUUUUUUGUACUUCCAUCUUCCCAUUCCCUUCUUUGUACCAAUCCCAGAACUACUUCUCUCGAUCUCCUUCCCUUUGUCAUUUAGCCCGAAGCAUCAUAGCCAUCAUCCCUUCAUAUUUCUGAUCUAAAUUUUUUAGUGCCUUUUUAGUAUUUUCCUGUCUAUACUCCAUAGCUCUCACAACUUGCUCCAACCCAUCAUUUUUGGUCGCAUAAGUUCUCAUUACACUCCCUAGCUCAGUGAGAUCUUUUCUUAAUGCUUCAUCUUGUGAUUUAGUGAUCCCUAUGGCUUGUAGCUGAGCUCUGAUAUCAUUGGAAUGGCGUAAAAACUGGCCUGAGUAAAAUUUAAAGUUGACAAUGAAAGUCAAUCAAACAGUAAUUCUAACCAAAAAAUUAAGAGAAUCUCCAUUUCCAUUAAUGAAACUUCCAGUAAUGAAUACAAAGCAGAUAAUAUGGAUUAAGUUAAGAAGAUGGAGAGAAAUGAAGGAAACUUGGGAAAGGGAAAAAAAGAGAGAGAAUAUCCCAAAACUCUCGCUACAAAAUCCGGAAAAAUGAUCAAAAGCGACUCAUUACAAAGAAAUUCUGCUUAUACUAUAAUUUCUCUAACUAACAUUCAAUUUUGGCUACUAAAACUCUGACACGUGGCUGUCUGAGCCAACCGUUGAAGUGGUCCUCGGUUCAGGCGAGCAAUCAGCAUUCAGCAAUGUGAUUUUUCCAGUGAAAGCGUGCUUGCCUUCACAAUGACUCUGCUUGCCAACGUUCACGCUUUCAGCUCCAUCUGUCACGCUUUCUUCAUUUCCUUUCCUGAUUGACACUUCUAAGCUACUGAUCGAUCCUCCUACUCCAUCAAGGACAGCGGGGACUAUGGAUGGCUUUGCCUUGAGGGCGAGCUUGGGAGGCGGAGUAGAAAUGAAUUAGAUCAAAGGCGGAGCUAUUGAUGAUUAACCAAGGUAUUUUGGGUAUUUGAAGAGAUAUUGUCUGGCAGGAAAUUCAUAAUCCGAUGGCGAGGCUUUUAUCAAGAACAUUCAAAUCCCUCAAGCCCCAUCACAACAUCAAUCCUUGCCCUAAACCUCUUCUAAAGGCUCCAACAACUUCAGUGGCAACCCCAUCAAAAUCGGAAUUCUCUUCAUCAUCACCAUCGUUGAAGACAGCGCCUGAAGUAUCAUCUUCGAAAUCGAAAUCAAGAUUAUCAAAAUCAUUGAAGAAUUCUUGGUCUGUGUAUCUGAUUCUAUCAACCAAUCCGCCGAUCAAGACUUAU